GUGGGGAAUCUUGCGCAAUGGGCGAAAGCCUGACGCAGCCAUGCCGCGUGAAUGAUGAAGGUCUUAGGAUUGUAAAAUUCUUUCACCGGGGACGAUAAUGACGGUACCCGGAGAAGAAGCUCCGGCUAACUUCGUGCCAGCAGCCGCGGUAAUACGACGGGGGCUAGCGUUGCUCGGAAUUACUGGGCGUAAAGGGCGCGUAGGCGGACAGCUUAGUCAGAGGUGAAAGCCCAGGGCUCAACCUUGGAAUUGCCUUUGAUACUGGCUGUCUUGAGUUUGGGAGAGGUGAGUGGAACUCCGAGUGUAGAGGUGAAAUUCGUAGAUAUUCGGAAGAACACCAGUGGCGAAGGCGACUCACUGGCCCAAUACUGACGCUGAGGCGCGAAAGCGUGGGGAGCAAACAGGAUUAGAAACCCCGGUAGUCC
Molecule: ribosomal RNA, 425 nt
Filed under: uncultured bacterium
Lineage: Bacteria
Description: partial 16S ribosomal RNA
Rfam family: Bacterial small subunit ribosomal RNA
Source: RNAcentral